This 649-nucleotide ribosomal RNA is filed under the name Penicillium spinulosum. Its description in RNAcentral is "eukaryotic LSU rRNA". The stretch from base 226 to 379 matches the Rfam family "5.8S ribosomal RNA". Lineage: Eukaryota; Fungi; Ascomycota; Eurotiomycetes; Eurotiales; Aspergillaceae. The record is from RNAcentral.
UCGUGACCUGCGGAGGAUCAUUAUCGAGUUCUGAAACGGGUUGUAGCUGGCCUUCCGAGGCAUGUGCACGCCCUGCUCAUCCACUCUACACCUGUGCACUUACUGUGGGUUUCAGGAGCUUCGAAGCGAGGGUUUAACCGCUCUCGCCGAGUUGUUACUGGGCCUACGUUUAUCACAAACUCUUGAAAGUAUCAGAAUGUAAACGCGUCUAACGCAUCUAUAUACAACUUUCAGCAACGGAUCUCUUGGCUCUCGCAUCGAUGAAGAACGCAGCGAAAUGCGAUAAGUAAUGUGAAUUGCAGAAUUCAGUGAAUCAUCGAAUCUUUGAACGCACCUUGCGCUCCUUGGUAUUCCGAGGAGCAUGCCUGUUUGAGUGUCAUGAAAUUCUCAACCUAACAAGUUCUUAACGGGGCUUGCUUAGGCUUGGACUUGGAGGCUUGUCGGCUCUUUAGCAGUCGGCUCCUCUCAAAUGCAUUAGCUUGGUUCCUUGCGGAUCGGCUCACGGUGUGAUAAUUAUCUGCGCCGCGACCGUUGAAGCGUUUAAUGGCCAGCUUCUAAUCGUCUCUUGCGAGACAGCUUUCAUCGAACUCUGACCUCAAAUCAGGUAGGACUACCCGCUGAACUUAAGCAUAUCAAUAAGCCGGAGGAA